Molecule: ribosomal RNA, 441 nt
Filed under: uncultured bacterium
Lineage: Bacteria
Description: partial 16S ribosomal RNA
Rfam family: Bacterial small subunit ribosomal RNA
Source: RNAcentral
CCUACGGGAGGCAGCAGUGGGGAAUAUUGCACAAUGGGGGAAACCCUGAUGCAGCGACGCCGCGUGAGUGAAGAAGUAUUUCGGUAUGUAAAGCUCUAUCAGCAGGGAAGAAGAAAGACGGUACCUGACUAAGAAGCCCCGGCUAACUACGUGCCAGCAGGCGCGGUAAUACGUAGGGGGCAAGCGUUAUCCGGAUUUACUGGGUGUAAGGGGAGCGUAGACGGGUGUGCAAGUCUGAAGUGAAAGCCCAGGGCUCAACCCUGGGACUGCCUUGGAACCUGUGGAGCUAGAGUGCUGGAGAGGUAAGUGGAAUUCCUGGUGUAGCGGUGAAAUGCGUAGAUAUUAGGAGGAACACCAGUGGCGAAGGCGGCUUACUGGACAGUAACUGACGUUGAGGCUCGAAAGCGUGGGGAGCAAACAGGAUUAGAUACCCCAGUAGUC